This is a long non-coding RNA of Mugil cephalus (flathead mullet), 505 nucleotides long. RefSeq lists it as uncharacterized. The record is from RefSeq and is a predicted model, not a curated record. The transcript has 3 exons. NCBI's taxonomy places the organism in Eukaryota, Metazoa, Chordata, Actinopteri, Mugiliformes, Mugilidae.
AACAAAGUGGGACUCGAAGCUGGAUCCAUGAUGACAGAUGGAGUCUGGAGACUGAAUAGGCCCAGUGACGGCAGACAGGUGCGACAUCCAAUGAAAAGCUGACGUGCCAACUUCUCGACCAAUCACAUUUGGGUAUCGUCUCGAUGGGCGGGCCAUGGAGAGAGGACAUGACGGAGAGCCAGACUGAUGCACUGGAAGUCCUCCAGCCUACCUUCGUCCUCGGCUGGAUUACAGUUUGGAUCUUUCAUUAGGGAAUGUGUACCACGUAAACAUAACUGUAUGUGUAACAUAAAAAACUCAGGGUAUCUCAAUAAGACACUCAAUUAUGGUGUACUUCAGAGAUGCAUAUUUCUGAAUUAAAUUAAUCAAAUUACCUAAGAAUACUUGCCAAACAAUUAAUGUAUUGUGGGGCUCAUGCACAGCAGUAAUGAAUGCCAUGAAUACUUUGCAUCCUUUGCACUGCAAUGGACUGUUGCCUACUAUAACCCUGUAUGUACAACAUUCA